AUUGAACGCUGGCGGCAUGCCUUACACAUGCAAGUCGAACGGCAGCACGGGUGCUUGCACCUGGUGGCGAGUGGCGAACGGGUGAGUAAUAUAUCGGAACGUACCUUAUCGUGGGGGAUAACGCAGCGAAAGCUGUGCUAAUACCGCAUAAGCCCUAAGGGGGAAAGCAGGGGACCGUAAGGCCUUGCGCGAUUAGAGCGGCCGAUACCUGAUUAGCUAGUUGGUGAGGUAAAGGCUCACCAAGGCAACGAUCAGUAGCUGGUCUGAGAGGACGAUCAGCCACACUGGGACUGAGACACGGCCCAGACUCCUACGGGAGGCAGCAGUGGGGAAUUUUGGACAAUGGGGGCAACCCUGAUCCAGCAAUGCCGCGUGAGUGAAGAAGGCCUUCGGGUUGUAAAGCUCUUUUGUCAGGGAAGAAACAGCAGCUCUAAUACAGUAUGCGAAUGACGGUACCUGAAGAAUAAGCACCGGCUAACUACGUGCCAGCAGCCGCCGCAG
Molecule: ribosomal RNA, 501 nt
Filed under: uncultured bacterium
Lineage: Bacteria
Description: partial 16S ribosomal RNA
Rfam family: Bacterial small subunit ribosomal RNA
Source: RNAcentral